AUCUUUUGACUUCUAUGUAUAACUUUUAUCUUAUAAAAAAGGCGCCACAUGUGUAGGCGCCAUUUUUUCAGAUGUAACAUUAUUGUAUCUUUCAAACGAACUAACUUUGAAUUUUUUUUGUUGAGUAAUGAAAUAAGUGUUUUUUGCAUAAUAGUAUUGUCCAUAUUAUUCGCAGAUACAAUAAUUCGCGCCAAGCCUAAUUAUAAUAGUUAUAAAGAAAUUAAAUUUUUCUUUCUUUUAUUGUAUGCGUAUGUCUUUUAUUGUAUUUCUUAAAAUAUUCGUUUUUGAUACUAGAGCCAGUGCUUUUCUCAGAAGGAUUCAGUCUCUCUAGGUUAAGAAUACGUUCUAUAAUCUUUACUUCAUCCAGUUCUCUGCAGAGGGCUUAAUGGUGCCACACAAUGACUUCUGUAGUCUUCACAUGGUUCUUCCUUGAUCAUGGCAUUUACGAUGACCUCCCCUGGACUACUGCAGCACUGACGACAACGUUCUCCGCAUCCGAUCGUGAGUCGCAUGCACUUUUGUUCCUCUGGUCACUCAAUCAUGUCGUAGGAUGAAAGGUCCGAAUCGACACGGGUGACUGGUUGUAUUACGUAGAAUUUUUUGCGAGCAUAGUGACUGCGGGCAUUUAUUAUACCCGCGAGUGGUAACAUUUCCAGUAUACUAUUUAUUAUGUAGUUCAGGAUAGAUCUUUUUUGCACGACACGGUUUUUAUAUUAGUAUAGUAAUUUAU
Long non-coding RNA from Frieseomelitta varia, 730 nucleotides. RefSeq lists it as uncharacterized. The record is from RefSeq and is a predicted model, not a curated record. The transcript is spliced from 3 exons. NCBI's taxonomy places the organism in Eukaryota, Metazoa, Arthropoda, Insecta, Hymenoptera, Apidae.